Long non-coding RNA from Cercocebus atys (sooty mangabey), 2451 nucleotides. RefSeq lists it as uncharacterized. The record is from RefSeq and is a predicted model, not a curated record. The transcript has 2 exons. Lineage: Eukaryota; Metazoa; Chordata; Mammalia; Primates; Cercopithecidae.
UGGACUCGCAGCCCCGGGUACUGAGGACAAGCCUGCUCUGCUACUGAAUAGCUGUGAGUCCUUGGUCACUGACUUCACCACUCUGUGCCUCGGUUUCCCCAUCGAUGAAACAGGGAUUAUGAAAGAACUCUCCACACAAGGGUCUCAGUGGGCACGUCUGAUUGGUGGAACCUGGGUCAUGUGACCACCCACUAGCUGCAAGAGAUGCUUGGAAGAGUGAGCACCUAGCAGGUUCAACAUCAGUGAUGGAGGUGAGUAGACUGCGCUUCAAAAGAUGGGGAGCCUCAGACCACUGCAGGGUGUUUAACCCUUCCUCAACUGAUGGAUAUUUAGGUUGCUCCCAGUGGCCAUCUUGACCAUACUCCUUGUGCCUGUGUGGGGAUGUUUCACUAAGGGAGAUGCCACAUCACGGAACUGCAGUGUUCCCCCCAAAAAUGUGAACUUACAGUUUUACUGGCUACUGUAAAAAUUGUCUUCUGGAGAGGCUGUUUCAAUUUACACCACCACCAGCAGUAUAUCAGUGUGACCAUUUCCCAGUCUCCUUAAUUUAACGCUUUACAUCACCAAUCUCAUUCAUGUCAACCUGAGGCAUGGCAAAUGUUCUUGCAUUGUUGUUUUAAUUUGCAUUUGCCUGAUUACCAGCACGAUUGAACAUCUUGCAUGUUUAUUUGCCAUCUGUAUUUUAUGUAAAUUGCCUGUUCACACCCACUACCCAUUAUUCUAGUGGGUUUGUGGUUUUCUUCUUAUUGUUCUGCAGGAACUCUUUAUAUACUGUGGAAAUAAAUUCACAGUCUACAUUUAUGUUUCAAAUAUUUUUACCUAGGUUACCAUUUGUCUUUUAACUUUGGAGUGGCCACAUGCUGUUUUACCCAGGCUCACAACUUUUCUGAGGUUGGGAAAUGAACACUGAUGGGAAGGAGGUGGGGACAACGGGGAAAAGGGAUCUUUCUGACACUACUCUGUUCUCUUCCCACUAGCUCUGAGUACAUUUUGUAACACCCCUCCCAUAUCAUCCUUUCAUUUCCUUGUUCUUGUCACCAAUAGAAAACAGUAAUAGAACCCCAGCCACAGAACUUCUCACUUUCACUUUUCAAUUUUUUUUUUUCAAGCUCAAAGUUUACAGAUUUGGAAUGAAGUAUCCUCAGUGUCCCUGCUGGGGUGAUCAGCCAAGUUGAGUGCCCCUCACAGUUGUCAUUAAUUUACUGAUAUUGCAAAUGAAGAAAGCAGGUUAAUUCAAGUAAUUUGCAAAUUCCUUCCAAAAUUGCCAAUAGUGGGCAAAUUGCUAAACAGUAUAUAGGGCAUGUGGUGAGCAAAUGGCCUGGAGGUGAAAUGGCCUGGUUGAAAUCACACUUGAAAAGCUUUUAUCUCAUUCAUAAAAGGGCAGAGAACAUGGUUUGGUAAAUAUAAACACGUGUGUACUGCAAAGUCAGGGGUUGGCAAGCUAUAGCCCUUGAGCCAAACCUGGCCCACCACCUGUUUUUGUAAAUAAAGUUUUAUUGGCACACAGUCACAGUCAUUUACUGACAUACAGUCUGUGGCUGUUUUCCUGCACCACAGCAGAGUUAAGUAGUUGCAAUAAAGAUGGUAUGGCCCACAAAUCUUAAAACAUUUAUUAUCUGGCUCUUUACAGAAACAUUUUACCAACCUCAGCAGCAAGUAUUAAAAAACACAUAAGUUAUAAUAUUGCAGUAUUUUUAGAGAUAUAAAAUAGAUGAAAAAUUAUUUUUUAAAAAAUGUCUGGCAGAUCAUGUAUGGCUGGAUCUAAGUUAAACGCAUAGAAAGAACAUUCCACUGAAUAACAUGAUCAAGAGUAAGACUUUGGGCCCAGAUAAUUAACUUUUAAAAAUUCUUAGCAAGUUGCUUCGUGUCUCCAACCUCAGUUUUCUCAUCUGUAAAAGAGGGGAUGAUAUUUAGGUCUGACCUCAUAGGGUACAGGCAAAAAAGGCUCUUAGAACAGUGCUGGGCACAUAGUAAGUACUAUGUAAUUAUUUGCUAUUGUUAUCAUUAUUAUUGCACAGAGUCAGGUCUAGAUCGGUGUCAUGGCUGUGCUACUUCUCAGACACGUGACCCUGGACACACAGCUUCCUCUUCCCCAGCCUCAGUCUCCCUACCCAUAAAUCGGGGCCAUAAUGGUUGCCAUCACCUGGAGUUGCUGUGAGGGCUCCUUGGCACAGUAUCUGGCACACAGUAGGCACCCAACACAGAUGAGCUGUUACUGCCAGCAUUCCCAUCAUUCUGACUCAAAGCCUCUGCACUGACUGGAACUCAGUCCCAUCGUUCCUCUGGAAGGCAGGCCAUGACUCCAGACCCGCCGUGUACCAGCACUGACUAUUUUCCACCCAGUGACUGUUUAUUUUAACUGUCCUCCUAAAGUAACUCCUCAGCCAUCAAACGACUGUUUACAAAGCCCACAAUUAACCUUCUUGGAACAACAAAUAAACAGGAACCUAA